UUGGGGUAUCGCCAAGCGGUAAGGCACCGGUUUUUGAUACCGGCAUUCCCUGGUUCGAAUCCAGGUACCCCAGCCAU
Molecule: transfer RNA, 77 nt
Filed under: Klebsiella variicola
Lineage: Bacteria; Pseudomonadati; Pseudomonadota; Gammaproteobacteria; Enterobacterales; Enterobacteriaceae
Also listed under: 32 other names
Description: tRNA-Gln
Rfam family: tRNA
About the family: Transfer RNA (tRNA) molecules are approximately 80 nucleotides in length.
Source: RNAcentral